CCUACGGGUGGCAGCAGUGAGGAAUAUUGGUCAAUGGGCGCGAGCCUGAACCAGCCAAGUAGCGUGAAGGAUGACUGCCCUACGGGUUGUAAACUUCUUUUGCCGGGGAGCAGUGGUCCGGACGUGUCCGGGCCGGGAGAGUACCCGGAGAAAAAGCAUCGGCUAACUCCGUGCCAGCAGCCGCGGUAAUACGGAGGAUGCGAGCGUUAUCCGGAUUUAUUGGGUUUAAAGGGUGCGUAGGCGGGCAUUUAAGCCGGCGGUCAAAUGUCGGGGCUCAACCCCGGCCUGCCGUCGGAACUGGGUGCCUUGAGUGGGCGAGAAGUAUGCGGAAUGCGUGGGGUAGCGGUGAAAUGCAUAGAUAUCACGCAGAACCCCGAUUGCGAAGGCAGCAUACCGGCGCCCUACUGACGCUGAGGCACGAAAGUGCGGGUAUCGAACAGGAUUAGAUACCCCAGUAGUC
Molecule: ribosomal RNA, 460 nt
Filed under: uncultured bacterium
Lineage: Bacteria
Description: partial 16S ribosomal RNA
Rfam family: Bacterial small subunit ribosomal RNA
Source: RNAcentral